CCUACGGGUGGCUGCAGUGGGGAAUAUUGGGCAAUGGGCGCAAGCCUGACCCAGCAACGCCGCGUGAAGGAAGAAGGCUUUCGGGUUGUAAACUUCUUUUCUCAGGGACGAAGCAAGUGACGGUACCUGAGGAAUAAGCCACGGCUAACUACGUGCCAGCAGCCGCGGUAAUACGUAGGUGGCAAGCGUUAGCCGGAUUUACUGGGUGUAAAGGGCGAGUAGGCGGGACUGCAAGUCAGAUGUGAAAACCAAGGGCUCAACCUAAGGACUGCAUUUGAAACUGUAGUUCUUGAGUACUGGAGAGGCAGGCGGAAUUCCUAGUGUAGCGGUGAAAUGCGUAGAUAUUAGGAGGAAUACCCGUGGCGAAGGCGGUCUGCUGGACAGCAACUGACGCUGAGGCGCGAAAGCGUGGGGAGCAAACAGGAUUAGAUACCCUGGUAGUG
Molecule: ribosomal RNA, 443 nt
Filed under: uncultured bacterium
Lineage: Bacteria
Description: partial 16S ribosomal RNA
Rfam family: Bacterial small subunit ribosomal RNA
Source: RNAcentral